CCUACGGGUGGCAGCAGUGGGGAAUAUUGGACAAUGGGCGAAAGCCUGAUCCAGCCAUGCCGCGUGUGUGAAGAAGGCCUUCGGGUUGUAAAGCACUUUCAGUGGGGAAGAAAGCCUUGGGGCUAAUACCCUCGAGGAAGGACAUCACCCACAGAAGAAGCACCGGCUAACUCCGUGCCAGCAGCCGCGGUAAUACGGAGGGUGCGAGCGUUAAUCGGAAUUACUGGGCGUAAAGCGCGCGUAGGCGGUCUGAUAAGCCGGUUGUGAAAGCCCCGGGCUCAACCUGGGAACGGCAUCCGGAACUGUCAGGCUAGAGUGCAGGAGAGGAAGGGAGAAUUCCCGGUGUAGCGGUGAAAUGCGUAGAGAUCGGGAGGAAUACCAGUGGCGAAGGCGGCCUUCUGGACUGACACUGACGCUGAGGUGCGAAAGCGUGGGUAGCAAACAGGAUUAGAUACCCCGGUAGUC
Molecule: ribosomal RNA, 465 nt
Filed under: Vreelandella stevensii
Lineage: Bacteria; Pseudomonadati; Pseudomonadota; Gammaproteobacteria; Oceanospirillales; Halomonadaceae
Description: partial 16S ribosomal RNA
Rfam family: Bacterial small subunit ribosomal RNA
Source: RNAcentral